RNAcentral lists this ribosomal RNA (638 nucleotides) under uncultured Bacilli bacterium. Its description in RNAcentral is "bacterial SSU rRNA". It matches the Rfam family "Bacterial small subunit ribosomal RNA", at positions 110 to 732 of the family's 1533-position model. Lineage: Bacteria; Bacillati; Bacillota; Bacilli. The record is from RNAcentral.
GUAACACGUGGGUAACCUGCCUGUAAGACUGGGAUAACUCCGGGAAACCGGGGCUAAUACCGGAUGCUUGAUUGAACCGCAUGGUUCAAUCAUAAAAGGUGGCUUUUAGCUACCACUUGCAGAUGGACCCGCGGCGCAUUAACUAGUUGGUGAGGUAACGGCUCACCAAGGCGACGAUGCGUAGCCGACCUGAGAGGGUGAUCGGCCACACUGGGACUGAGACACGGCCCAGACUCCUACGGGAGGCAGCAGUAGGGAAUCUUCCGCAAUGGACGAAAGUCUGACGGAGCAACGCCGCGUGAGUGAUGAAGGUUUUCGGAUCGUAAAACUCUGUUGUUAGGGAAGAACAAGUACCGUUCGAAUAGGGCGGUACCUUGACGGUACCUAACCAGAAAGCCACGGCUAACUACGUGCCAGCAGCCGCGGUAAUACGUAGGUGGCAAGCGUUGUCCGGAAUUAUUGGGCGUAAAGCGCGCGCAGGCGGUUUCUUAAGUCUGAUGUGAAAGCCCCCGGCUCAACCGGGGAGGGUCAUUGGAAACUGGGGAACUUGAGUGCAGAAGAGGAGAGUGGAAUUCCACGUGUAGCGGUGAAAUGCGUAGAGAUGUGGAGGACCACCAGUGGCGAAGGCGACUCUCUGG